UUGGCAUUCUGUCACUUCACCUUGCAAAGCUGCAGUAAUGGAGCACGACAGCCCCUGGUAUACUACAUGGCUGCACCUGACCCCUCAGGACUGCUGGGGAAAAAAUCAUACAGAUGAAAAGCUCAAGGAGGGAAAUAAUUUAAGAGGAGAUUUAUGGUACUGAGAACAUUUAACAUGAUUGCUUUUCUGAGUCAAGACACAGCGCUCAGCCUCCCGGGAGCUCUGCUACAGAGAACACACAACCAGCCUCCAUUGUCACUGAUACUUCCAUUCGGCCCCACCACCCCAUCAAACGCAACCUUCCGAUGGGGACUGUUCCAGAAAACUGGACGACAUCUGAAGAACUCUUCCUUGGCCAUCAGCUCCAGACCCCCGCCACUGUUACAGAACCUGCUCUGGACCACCCUGUAGAAGAGCCAAGCGGUACUCGGAGAUCUUGGAAGGCAGGAGGUUUAUUUCACACCGGUGGGCUCAGAGGAGAUCACUCUCCAGAGAUCUGAGCCCCUAGCAUAAGCAGAGGGAACGAUCUAUAGUCUGUUACUUCCACAUUUCGCAUUAGUAGUAAUUUGGCGCA
Molecule: long non-coding RNA, 574 nt
Organism: Herpailurus yagouaroundi (jaguarundi)
Lineage: Eukaryota; Metazoa; Chordata; Mammalia; Carnivora; Felidae
Exons: 3
Source: RefSeq, a predicted model, not a curated record